Molecule: small RNA, 1007 nt
Filed under: Pan troglodytes (chimpanzee)
Lineage: Eukaryota; Metazoa; Chordata; Mammalia; Primates; Hominidae
Description: retained intron
Source: RNAcentral
CAAGACUGCUCUCCUCAGACCUCACUGUAGGGUGACUGAGAAUAGUCAUUUAUUUCCUGUUCCAGGUCCUAGACCCACCUGCCCGCCGGAUCUGGAAUAAUGUGACUCGCUGGUUUGUCACGUGUGUCCGGCAGCCAGAAUUCCGAGCCGUGCUAGGAGAAGUGGUUCUAUACUCAGGAGCCAGGCCUCUCUCUCAUCAGCCAGGCCCCGAGGCUCCUGCCCUCCCAAAGACAGCUGCUCAGCUCAAGAAAGAGGCAAAGAAACGGGAGAAGCUAGAGAAAUUCCAACAGAAGCAGAAGAUCCAACAGCAGCAGCCACCUCCAGGGGAGAAGAAACCAAAACCAGAGAAGAGGGAGAAACGGGAUCCUGGGGUCAUUACCUAUGACCUCCCAACCCCACCCGGGGAAAAGAAAGAUGUCAGUGGCCCCAUGCCCGACUCCUACAGCCCUCGGUAUGUGGAGGCUGCCUGGUACCCUUGGUGGGAGCAGCAGGGCUUCUUCAAGCCAGAGUAUGGGCGUCCUAAUGUGUCAGCAGCAAAUCCCCGAGGUGUCUUCAUGAUGUGCAUCCCACCCCCCAAUGUGACAGGCUCCCUGCACCUGGGCCAUGCACUCACCAACGCCAUUCAGGACUCCCUGACUCGAUGGCACCGCAUGCGUGGGGAGACCACCCUGUGGAACCCUGGCUGUGACCAUGCAGGUAUUGCCACCCAGGUGGUGGUGGAGAAGAAGCUAUGGCGUGAGCAGGGACUGAGCCGGCACCAGCUGGGCCGCGAGGCCUUUCUACAGGAAGUCUGGAAGUGGAAGGAGGAGAAAGGUGACCGGAUUUACCACCAGUUGAAGAAGCUCGGCAGCUCCUUGGACUGGGAUCGAGCCUGUUUCACCAUGGACCCUAAACUCUCAGCAGCUGUGACAGAGGCCUUUGUCCGGCUUCACGAGGAAGGCGUCAUCUAUCGCAGUACCCGCCUUGUUAACUGGUCCUGCACCCUCAACUCCGCCAUCUCUGACAUU